CUCUAGUCUGUAAAAGUGUAACGAUUAGAAAAUUGGGAGAUUAUUUAUUGUAAAGUUUAUUUAUGCAUAUUGUUAUGAUACAGAUAUCCAUCCCCCAAACUUUGCCCAUUAUGUAUACCUUGUCGAUGAAAGUGCAUCCGUGAAGACCUGUGACUUGACAUCGUCUGACAUCCGGAACCUUGAAUAUGAGUCUGUAGGUCAGCCUGAAGGGAUAAUUCCACAUGGACCUUGUAAAUUCACUGUCCAUGACCGAGAAAAUCGCUUCCACGUCUCCACUUGGUAGACGCUCCGGAGAUUUCUCCAAGUUCCAGCGUACGAUUCUGGCGAAUCCAUGUCCCGGACCGAACGUCCAAGCCCCGAAUUGAGCUACGAUUAUACAUAAGUUUAUCGUUCGUAUUAUCCUUGAAAUUAUUUUCAUCAGACGAAUUAGAAAAGGUAAAGGAUGAAACGAAAAAGAACCAAUUCGGAGUGAUUAGCCGACGUCCUUUCGACUCUUCAGAUUAAAAAAAUUCGACUCGAAGAUCUACACCGCGAGAAGGAAUUGGGCGAAAAAACGAAAUCUCGAUGAAUUCUUCUUAUUCUUAGGGGUGGACGAAAUUAUACGC
Athalia rosae (coleseed sawfly) is the source of this 605-nucleotide long non-coding RNA. RefSeq lists it as uncharacterized. NCBI's taxonomy places the organism in Eukaryota, Metazoa, Arthropoda, Insecta, Hymenoptera, Athaliidae. The record is from RefSeq and is a predicted model, not a curated record. The transcript is spliced from 3 exons.